Molecule: ribosomal RNA, 268 nt
Filed under: uncultured bacterium
Lineage: Bacteria
Description: partial 16S ribosomal RNA
Rfam family: Bacterial small subunit ribosomal RNA
Source: RNAcentral
CGCAAAACAAAGGGAAGCAAAGCCGCGAGGCGGAGCGAAUCCCCAAAAGGCGUCUCAGUUCGGAUUGCAGGCUGCAACUCGCCUGUAUGAAGUCGGAAUUGCUAGUAAUCGUGGAUCAGCAUGCCACGGUGAAUACGUUCCCGGGCCUUGUACACACCGCCCGUCACACCAUGAGAGCCGGGAACACCCGAAGUCCGUAGUCUAACCUAUAUGGAGGACGCGGCCGAAGGUGGGUUUGGUAAUUGGGGUGAAGUCGUAACAAGGUACC